RNAcentral lists this unclassified non-coding RNA (352 nucleotides) under soil metagenome. RNAcentral describes it as "partial contains 5.8S ribosomal RNA, internal transcribed spacer 2, and large subunit ribosomal RNA". The stretch from base 1 to 120 matches the Rfam family "5.8S ribosomal RNA", at positions 35 to 154 of the family's 154-position model. The record is from RNAcentral.
GAUGAAGAACGCAGCGAAAUGCGAUAAGUAAUGUGAAUUGCAGAAUUCAGUGAAUCAUCGAAUCUUUGAACGCACAUUGCGCCCGCCAGUAUUCUGGCGGGCAUGCCUGUUCGAGCGUCAUUACAACCCUCAGGCCCCCGGGCCUGGCGUUGGGGAUCGGCGGAGCCCCCCGUGGGCACACGCCGUCCCCCAAAUGCAGUGGCGGUCCCGCCGCAGCUUCCAUCGCGUAGUAGCUAACACCUCGCGACUGGAGAGCGGCGCGGCCACGCCGUAAAACACCCAGCUCUUCUGAAGUUGACCUCGAAUCAGGUAGGAAUACCCGCUGAACUUAAGCAUAUCAAUAAGCGGAGGA